RNAcentral lists this ribosomal RNA (484 nucleotides) under uncultured bacterium. Its description in RNAcentral is "bacterial SSU rRNA". It matches the Rfam family "Bacterial small subunit ribosomal RNA", at positions 30 to 505 of the family's 1533-position model. The record is from RNAcentral.
UGAACGCUAGCGGCAGGCCUAACACAUGCAAGUCGAGGGGUAACAGAGAGAAGCUUGCUUUUCUGCUGACGACCGGCGCACGGGUGCGUAACGCGUAUACAAUCUGCCUUAUACAGAGGGAUAGCCUUUAGAAAUGAAGAUUAAUACCUUAUAGUCUAUUUUUAUAGCAUUAUAUAAAUAGUAAAGCUUCGGUGGUAUAAGAUGAGUAUGCGUCCUAUUAGUUAGUUGGUAAGGUAACGGCUUACCAAGACAACGAUAGGUAGGGGCCCUGAGAGGGGGAUCCCCCACACUGGUACUGAGACACGGACCAGACUCCUACGGGAGGCAGCAGUGAGGAAUAUUGGACAAUGGAGGCAACUCUGAUCCAGCCAUGCCGCGUGCAGGAUGACGGCCCUAUGGGUUGUAAACUGCUUUUAUAUAGGAAGAAACCUUUUCACGUGUGAGAAGCUGACGGUACUAUAAGAAUAAGGACCGGCUAACUCCG